AGAGUUUGAUCAUGGCUCAGGAUGAACGCUAGCGGCAGGCCUAAUACAUGCAAGCCGAGGGGCAGCACGAUCUUCGGAUUGGUGGCGACCGGCGCACGGGUGCGUAACGCGUAUGCAACCUACCCACUACAGGGGGAUAGCUCCCGGAAACGGGAAUUAAUACCGCAUAAAGCAGGGGUCUCACCUGAGACGAUUGCUAAAGAUUUAUCGGUAGUGGAUGGGCAUGCGUCUGAUUAGUUAGUUGGUGAGGUAAUGGCUCACCAAGACUGUGAUCAGUAGGGGGUCUGAGAGGAUGACCCCCCACACUGGUACUGAGAUACGGACCAGACUCCUACGGGAGGCAGCAGUAGGGAAUAUUGGGCAAUGGGUGAGAGCCUGACCCAGCCAUGCCGCGUGCAGGAAGACGGCCUUAUGGGUUGUAAACUGCUUUUGUAAGGGAAGAAAAUAAUCUUGCGAGAUCAAUUGACAGUACCUUACGAAUAAGCACCGGCUAACUCCGUGCCAGCAGCCGCGGUAAUACGGAGGGUGCAAGCGUUGUCCGGAUUUAUUGGGUUUAAAGGGUACGUAGGCGGGCCAUUAAGUCCGUGGUGAAAGCCUGUAGCUCAACUACAGAACUGCCAUGGAUACUGAUAGUCUUGAGUGCAGCAGAGGUGGGCGGAAUUCAUGGUGUAGCGGUGAAAUGCAUAGAUACCAUGAGGAACCCCGAUAGGGAAGCCAGCUCACUAGACUGUAACUGACGCUGAGGUACGAAAGCGUGGGGAGCGAACAGGAUUAGAUACCCUGGUAGUCCACGCCGUAAACGAUGCUCACUCGAUGUAUGCGAUACAGUGUAUGCGUCCAAGCGAAAGCGUUAAGUGAGCCACCUGGGGAGUACGCCCGC
This 880-nucleotide ribosomal RNA is filed under the name uncultured bacterium. RNAcentral describes it as "bacterial SSU rRNA". It matches the Rfam family "Bacterial small subunit ribosomal RNA", at positions 8 to 889 of the family's 1533-position model. The record is from RNAcentral.